GACGAACGCUGGCGGCGUGCUUAACACAUGCAAGUCGAACGCUGAAGCUCAGCUUUUGUUGGGUGGAUGAGUGGCGAACGGGUGAGUAACACGUGAGUAACCUGCCUCCUUCUUCGGGAUAACGCCCGGAAACGGGUGCUAAUACUGGAUAUUCACUGGUCUUCGCAUGGGGGUUGGUGGAAAGGGUUUUUCUGGUGGGGGAUGGGCUCGCGGCCUAUCAGCUUGUUGGUGGGGUGAUGGCCUACCAAGGCUUUGACGGGUAGCCGGCCUGAGAGGGUGACCGGUCACAUUGGGACUGAGAUACGGCCCAGACUCCUACGGGAGGCAGCAGUGGGGAAUAUUGCACAAUGGGCGCAAGCCUGAUGCAGCGACGCCGCGUGAGGGAUGGAGGCCUUCGGGUUGUGAACCUCUGUCGCUCAUGGUCAAGCCGCAACAAUGGUUGUGGUGAGGGUAGUGGGUAAAGAAGCGCCGGCUAACUACGUG
RNAcentral lists this ribosomal RNA (483 nucleotides) under uncultured bacterium. Its description in RNAcentral is "partial 16S ribosomal RNA". It matches the Rfam family "Bacterial small subunit ribosomal RNA", at positions 28 to 507 of the family's 1533-position model. The record is from RNAcentral.